AUUGAACGCUGGCGGCAGGCUUAACACAUGCAAGUCGAGCGGGGUGAUGGUGCUUGCACUAUCACUUAGCGGCGGACGGGUGAGUAAUGCUUAGGAAUCUGCCCAUUAGUGGGAGACAACAUCUCGAAAGGGAUGCUAAUACCGCAUACGUCCUACGGGAGAAAGCAGGGGAUCACUUGUGACCUUGCGCUAAUAGAUGAGCCUAAGUCGGAUUAGCUAGUUGGUGGGGUAACGGCUCACCAAGGCUAUGACGGCUAGCCGGCUUGAGAGAGGUGAACGGGCACACUGGAACUGAGGCACGGUCCGGACUCCUACGGGAGGCAGCAGUAGGGAAUCUUCCGCAAGGGGCGAAAGCCUGACGGAGCAAUGCCGCGUGGGUGAUGAAGGCCUGCGGGUCGUAAAGCUCUGUUGAGGGGGAAGAAAGGUAGUUCGGUUAAUACCCGAAUUGCCCUGACGGUACUCCUCGAGGAAGCCCCGGCUAAUUACGUGCCAGCAGCCGCCGUAA
RNAcentral lists this ribosomal RNA (505 nucleotides) under uncultured bacterium. RNAcentral describes it as "partial 16S ribosomal RNA". It matches the Rfam family "Bacterial small subunit ribosomal RNA", at positions 30 to 523 of the family's 1533-position model. The record is from RNAcentral.